AGACGAACCGUCCAAACGUUAUUCGGAAUUACUGGGCUUAAAGGGUGCGUAGGCGGUAUUGCAAGUUGGGUGUGAAAUCCCUCGGCUCAACCGAGGAAUUGCGCCCAAUACUGCAGUGCUAGAGGGAGACAGAGGUGAGCGGAACUUGUGGUGGAGCGGUGAAAUGCGUUGAUAUCACAAGGAACACCUGUGGCGAAAGCGGCUCACUGGGUCUCUUCUGACGCUGAGGCACGAAAGCUGGGGGAGCGAACGGGAUUAGAUACCCCGGUAGUCCCAGCUGUAAACUUUGAGCACUAGACCGGAGGACCCCCCAUAGUUUUCCGGUCGUAGCGAAAGUGUUAAGUGCUCCGCCUGGGGAGUAUGGUCGCAAGGCUGAA
Molecule: ribosomal RNA, 377 nt
Filed under: uncultured bacterium
Lineage: Bacteria
Description: bacterial SSU rRNA
Rfam family: Bacterial small subunit ribosomal RNA
Source: RNAcentral